This 254-nucleotide ribosomal RNA is filed under the name uncultured bacterium. RNAcentral's name for it is "partial 16S ribosomal RNA". It matches the Rfam family "Bacterial small subunit ribosomal RNA", at positions 524 to 776 of the family's 1533-position model. The record is from RNAcentral.
GACGUAGGGCGCGAGCGUUGUCCGGAUUUAUUGGGCGUAAAGAGCUCGUAGGCGGCUUGUCGCGUCGACUGUGAAAACCCGUGGCUCAACCAUGUGGUCUGCAUUCGAUACGGGCAGGCUAGAGUUCGGUAGGGGAGAUCGGAAUUCCUGGUGUAGCGGUGAAAUGCGCAGAUAUCAGGAGGAACACCGGUGGCGAAGGCGGAUCUCUGGGCCGAUACUGACGCUGAGGAGCGAAAGCGUGGGGAGCGAACAGG